Molecule: ribosomal RNA, 253 nt
Filed under: uncultured bacterium
Lineage: Bacteria
Description: partial 16S ribosomal RNA
Rfam family: Bacterial small subunit ribosomal RNA
Source: RNAcentral
UACGUAGGGUGCAAGCGUUGUCCGGAAUUAUUGGGCGUAAAGAGCUCGUAGGCGGUCUGUCACGUCGGCUGUGAAAACCCGAGGCUCAACCUCGGGCCUGCAGUCGAUACGGGCAAACUAGAGUACUGCAGGGGAGACUGGAAUUCCUGGUGUAGCGGUGAAAUGCGCAGAUAUCAGGAGGAACACCGGUGGCGAAGGCGGGUCUCUGGGCAGUAACUGACGCUGAGAAGCGAAAGCGUGGGGAGCGAACAGG